RNAcentral lists this ribosomal RNA (254 nucleotides) under uncultured bacterium. RNAcentral describes it as "partial 16S ribosomal RNA". It matches the Rfam family "Bacterial small subunit ribosomal RNA", at positions 524 to 776 of the family's 1533-position model. The record is from RNAcentral.
UACGGGGGGGGUAAGCGUUGUUCGGAAUUACUGGGCGUAAAGGGCUCGUAGGCGGCCAACUAAGUCAGACGUGAAAUCCCUCGGCUUAACCGGGGAACUGCGUCUGAUACUGGAUGGCUUGAGUUUGGGAGAGGGAUGCGGAAUUCCAGGUGUAGCGGUGAAAUGCGUAGAUAUCUGGGGGAACACCGGUGGCGAAGGCGGCAUCCUGGACCAACACUGACGCUGAGUGAGCGAAAGCCAGGGGAGCAAACGGG